Molecule: long non-coding RNA, 387 nt
Organism: Pygocentrus nattereri (red-bellied piranha)
Lineage: Eukaryota; Metazoa; Chordata; Actinopteri; Characiformes; Serrasalmidae
Exons: 3
Source: RefSeq, a predicted model, not a curated record
UGGAAGAUUUAAGUGGCUGCAAAGUCCCCAUGAUACAAUAAGAAAAGCCUUUUUCCAUUUCUCUGCAUUGAGGGAUUACAGUUCUGGGGUCUUUUGUUAUCGCUGUGGACCCCACCCUUCGAUACUUGUUGCUGAUGCAAACUGGAAGGUUGCAUUUGACAUUCCAGCAUUGAAGAAACCUGAUCCUGACACAGUGAGAGCUGAAGACCUUUGUGUAAAUAUGAAAGCAAAGUGGCAGAACUUGGAAAAUGAGAUGAUUGCUUCUGGAUUUUGCACUGGUGGAAGUCACACAAUCCCUUUUCAAGCAUAUUGACAUAUUCUGAGUUGGCACCUUGGAUUGGAGAGAAUACUAGAGCUGGAGAUAUAGUUCCCAAAACAGAACACAGA